GGAUAAGAGAAGUUUGGGGGAGCCAGACUCAGUGCUGGGGUCUCAGAAGGCAACACUCUUGCCUCAGAAGGGAAUCUCCACCAUGUCCUGGGCUCUGCUACUCUUCACCCUCCUAACUGAGGGCUCAGGUUCUUGGGCCCAGGCUCCCCUGACUCAGCCUCCCUCACUGUCUGGGAACCCAGGACAGAGGGUCACCAUCUCCUGUGCUGGAAGCAGCAGUGAUGUUGGGCAGGGUGAUGAUGUCUCCUGGUACCAACAACAACCAGGAAUGGCCCCCAAACUCCUAAUUUAUGAUGAUGAUAAUCGGCCCUCAGGGAUCCCUGAUCGCUUCUCUGGCAGCAAGUCUGGCAACACGGCCUCCCUGACCAUCUCUGGGCUCCAGCCUGAGGAUGAGGCUGAUUAUUACUGUGCUUCAUAUACAAGCAGUAGCACUAACCACAGUGAUGCAAGUUCAUGGGGAAGUGAGACCAAAACUUCCACUGGGCUCAUUAGCUCCCUCCUUGCUCUGAAGAUGCUUUUACUACCUGUUUCUGUGUCCUAA
Molecule: non-coding RNA, 541 nt
Organism: Phyllostomus hastatus (greater spear-nosed bat)
Lineage: Eukaryota; Metazoa; Chordata; Mammalia; Chiroptera; Phyllostomidae
Source: the annotation of a RefSeq genome assembly